UUCUUUUGUAAUAUUUCCCUCCUUAUUUUGAUCCAGGAUCCAGUAUAAAAUAGCACUCUUAAUUUUGGGGAUCUGUCUUUGCCUUCUGCUGCUUAUUUGCUGCUUAAUUGGCCCUAGAAACACGUGCUUUCCUGGCCCUGUUCCUCCAAGGGCUCCACCCUGAAGCCAGCAAUCCAAUUAAGAAACUGAAAGAAGAAAGAGCUUUAACAGACAUUUGAUAAUGAAUUGUUACUUCUUACUCAUGUUUAUAUAUAAACCCUUGACUGUCAAUGCUAUAAAAGACAAUUCAAAAGGAAGAAAUGCAAUUAUAUUGAAACACCAUUCACAAACAUCACAACAAGAAAUGCAGUCUACUUUAACUGUGGAGGUCUGAAUGCAGACCAUCUGUACCUGAAUACAGCUGCAGACCUGCAUUUUGUUCAAGAAAAACACCUCUCUGCUUGUGGAACAAGACACAAGAUAACACACAGAAAGGAAGAGUAAUUGAGAAGGGAGGAAACAUAUCAGGUGAGAAAGAACUUACUUUGUACGAAAUAUACUGGUAGUAGUCAACGUGAGAAGGAAAAGAAAAGUAUUGUGUGAUGAGCAAUACUCAAGCCAUGCCUUUAGUACUUAAUUGGGUAAAUUUGACCUCUGAUUUGACCUCUGGUUUCCAAACUCCUGAAAGGAGGAUAUUAAAUGUAAUGAUUAUUUAAUGCCUUUUCAGCUUUAAAAUGCUACAUUUAUGCUAUAAGCCUGAAUAAACAAUACAGCCGUAGGGAGAAGGUAACCAAGAACAUGGCAGAGCCCCAGUGUUGGGGAGAUGAAGGCCUGCUGAAAAAGUGACUGCAUAACCUGGCUAAACUCCAGCUAAAUGAAAUAGAGUUCAAGGUAGACAGUGGGACUUGGAAAUAAGAUACAGGAAUACUUGUUUUAAAAAUAUGUUUCUUAAACUGCUUCCAGUGUAGCUUCAUGAUGAAGCUGGCAUCAAGUGCCAGAACAUUAAUCCAUACCACUUCAAAUACCUUCUUGUCUUAUCU
This 1019-nucleotide long non-coding RNA is filed under the name Callithrix jacchus (white-tufted-ear marmoset). RNAcentral describes it as "lncRNA (ENSCJAG00000056646.2)". The record is from RNAcentral. Lineage: Eukaryota; Metazoa; Chordata; Mammalia; Primates; Cebidae.